This 252-nucleotide ribosomal RNA is filed under the name uncultured bacterium. Its description in RNAcentral is "partial 16S ribosomal RNA". It matches the Rfam family "Bacterial small subunit ribosomal RNA", at positions 524 to 776 of the family's 1533-position model. The record is from RNAcentral.
UACGUAGGUCCCGAGCGUUGUCCGGAUUUAUUGGGCGUAAAGCGAGCGCAGGUGGUUUAUUAAGUCUGGUGUAAAAGGCAGUGGCUCAACCAUUGUAUGCAUUGGAAACUGGUAGACUUGAGUGCAGGAGAGGAGAGUGGAAUUCCAUGUGUAGCGGUGAAAUGCGUAGAUAUAUGGAGGAACACCGGUGGCGAAAGCGGCUCUCUGGCCUGAAACUGACACUGAGGCUCGAAAGCGUGGGGAGCAAACAGG